GUAUACUUCACUCUCACUGUUCUAUAAAUAUCGUUCAGGUGCUGGAUCUGCUGUAUCUAAGCAACAGUUAUUACUCCAAGCAAGAAUGCUUUUCUUACAAUUUUUUUUUCAUGUCAUAGAAUGUUCCGUUCAUUUCUUAAUUUCUAUGACCUAAAAAGAAGUUGUGAUUCUUAUUCUGUGUGUGACAUGACAGGAAGCACUAUAGGUGUAGCACAUCAAAAGGCUGCAGAGCGAGGGAACACAUUGAUAAAAGCCCAAAGGCUCAAAACCUUUUCGUGGUCGCUUAUUCCGGUGAACACAAACAUCCUCCACCCACUAACUGAAGCUGUCUAUCUGGGCGGAGGAUGGUUAUGUUCACCGAGAUAGGCCACCAAGCCGAAGCUGUCUCUCUGGACGCUGCACCUGCGGUGCCAAAUCCAAGAUUCCAGAAGGAAAAAUAUUGUGCCCAGAGCAUUAAGCUUUACUUCUUCGUCAUCCAAAGGCUCUUGACGUUCAAGUGCUUCUCCAAUUAGCCCCAAAACGCCUGAAAUCCAGAGCAUGUCACCUAAUAAGAAAAUAGAAAUGGUAGCUGAGGAGGAGAAAGUUGUUCUGAUUCCGAACAAAUUCGUGAGUGAUGAUAUUCUCAAGAGUGUACUUUUCUUUGUGUUAAUGCAAUGAGUGAUUUUAUUGAAAUUAAAUUGAUCCGGAAAUUUUUCAUAACUGACAAAUUUAUGGUCCAUGACAUUAACUGGUUUUGAGUUUGAUUUUAUGAUAUGUGCCUUCUUCCUCUCAGGAAUCCUGUUGCCGUUUAACUGCAUCCAAACGGUCAUUUGAGAGUUGGAAUUUGGCAUGAAAAAUCUUGCUUUGUGUUCUAGAGGCUGGGAUAUGUGUGUUUAAAUUACUGUUUUAUUUUGAUGUUUCCAGAAUGGUGGGCGAUUAUGGUGAGCUUUAUAGACAUUUUAAUUGGUGCAACACAUUUGGUACUUUACAGAUCAACACAUCACUUUAAUAAAGUUACGUCAGAUUUGGACCCAGAUACCAAAUUCUUAAUGAACUUUGUGGUACGAAAGAUGUGUUGAUUAUUUCAUCUAUAUUUGGCAAACCAUAUUCAUCGGGUUUUCUCUGUGUUUUGCUAUAUGGUUUUGUUCAUCAGAUGGGCCCAACGGUGUACCAGAGCAUAGAUGAAAUCUGCUGCAGCGUUUAACAUAUCCAGCUUCGCAAGGCUGGGGAUUCGUCACAGGAUGUGGGAACUGUCAACAAGUUGGCACAGCGGCUUCAGAGCAUAUCAGACCGUGAAGAAUUCAGAGGCAGCGGUUUUGAGGCAUGCGAUGAUGGCACGAAUCACUUCAAAAAUAUCAUCUGAUGAAGGUGCAGGUACUUUGGAGCGAGUCUCUGGUGAAGAAGAUAAACGUGAAACGAUAUCCAAGGUCAGAGAGGAGGUGGUGGCCUCAACUGGAGAUGGAUGGUUAAUCGGCAGAACCGGGGCUGUAGUUUGCAGAAAUAUCUUCAAAAAUUGUGUUUGAUUUCCUCCGCAAUCAUAACACUAGGCGCGAGUGAGACAUUCUCUUGAAUGGGGGUGAUAUUCAUGAAGUUGCUCAUAUUGCUAGUGGCAGGGAAACAAGCAACCGUGUCUCCUUAUUGAGAGUCAACGUAAGGACAUUUAAAUCUUCAAUUUUACUUUCUUUCCCCAUAGUUUGAUUUAUGACACUUAAUGUUUUAUUAAUGUGUCGAAGAAAUAACGUGAGAAUUCCAAUAAUUGUUUCAUGAAUUGCAGAGUCUAAACUCAGCUCAAA
Molecule: long non-coding RNA, 1772 nt
Organism: Lycium ferocissimum
Lineage: Eukaryota; Viridiplantae; Streptophyta; Magnoliopsida; Solanales; Solanaceae
Exons: 2
Source: RefSeq, a predicted model, not a curated record